This 372-nucleotide ribosomal RNA is filed under the name uncultured organism. RNAcentral's name for it is "bacterial SSU rRNA". It matches the Rfam family "Bacterial small subunit ribosomal RNA", at positions 526 to 896 of the family's 1533-position model. The record is from RNAcentral.
CGGAGGGUGCGAGCGUUGUUCGGAAUCACUGGGCGUAAAGUGCGUGUAGGCGGCCCAUUAAGUCUGAUGUGAAAGCCCGGGGCUCACCCCCGGAAGUGCAUUGGAAACUGAUGGGCUGGAGUCCCGGAGAGGAGGGUGGAAUUCCUGGUGUAGCGGUGAAAUGCGUAGAUAUCAGGAGGAACACCGGUGGCGAAGGCGGCCCUCUGGACGGUGACUGACGCUGAGACGCGAAAGCGUGGGGAGCAAACAGGAUUAGAUACCCUGGUAGUCCACGCCGUAAACGAUGAGCACUAGGUGUCGCGGGUAUUGACCCCUGCGGUGCCGACGCUAACGCAUUAAGUGCUCCGCCUGGGGACUACGGCCGCAAGGUUA